Molecule: long non-coding RNA, 390 nt
Filed under: Linum usitatissimum (flax)
Lineage: Eukaryota; Viridiplantae; Streptophyta; Magnoliopsida; Malpighiales; Linaceae
Description: long non-coding RNA (LUSI_LNC007183)
Source: RNAcentral
AUUCAAUGCAGAGAAUAGAAGAAUCUUGGGGAGGCUGUAAGCAAUGUGGAACUUGUCUCUAAUAAAACGUCAGUCUUCACCACUUUUCUGCAAUUUCAGCAGAAUUUUAUACUGGACAUGUAAGUUGCAUUAACUUGUGCUGUUGAGCUUCUGAAAUCCUUCCUGUUUUAGGUUAGCUUCUGGGUACUUUGUAUAAUGUUCUAUGUGGCAGGUGGAGAUGCAAAUGUUAACGACAUUAGAUCCAAUACACUAUGCUGAUAGCAGGUGCAUUCUAACUAAUCUUUCGUUUUGGUUUGGUAACUUUCUGUACUUAACUACUUAUUACUUCACAUUUCAUAAGAAACUACCUAGCUUUCACAUUGAUUAGGUCGGAGAUGUCGAUAAAACAAC